GUCGAGAAUCUUUCACAAUGGGGGCAACCCUGAUGGAGCGACGCCGCGUGGAGGAUAAGGUCUUCGGAUUGUAAACUCCUGUCAUGCGUGAACAAGGUUGCUUGGUUAAUACCUGGGCAAAUUGAUGGUAACGCAAGAGGAAGAGACGGCUAACUCUGUGCCAGCAGCCGCGGUAAUACAGAGGUCUCAAGCGUUGUUCGGAAUCACUGGGCGUAAAGGGUGCGUAGGUGGCGUGGUAAGUCAGAUGUGAAAGCCCGGGGCUCAACCUCGGAAGUGCAUCCGAUACUGCCAUGCUAGAGUACUGGAGAGGUGACUAGAAUUCUCGGUGUAGCAGUGAAAUGCGUAGAUAUCGAGAGGAAUACCAAAGGCGUAGGCAGGUCACUGGACAGUUACUGACACUGAGGCACGAAGGCCAGGGGAGCGAACGGGAUUAGAUACCCCUGUAGUCC
RNAcentral lists this ribosomal RNA (449 nucleotides) under uncultured bacterium. Its description in RNAcentral is "partial 16S ribosomal RNA". It matches the Rfam family "Bacterial small subunit ribosomal RNA", at positions 354 to 796 of the family's 1533-position model. The record is from RNAcentral.